GACGAACGCUGGCGGCGUGCUUAACACAUGCAAGUCGAACGAUGAAGCUGGAGCUUGCUCCGGUGGAUUAGUGGCGAACGGGUGAGUAACACGUGAGCAAUCUGCCCUUGACUCUGGGAUAACUGCGGGGAACUGUACCUAAUACCGGAUACGAGGCUCGAAGGCAUCUUCGGGUCUGGAAAGAAUUUCGGUCAAGGAUGAGCUCGCGGCCUAUCAGCUUGUUGGUGAGGUAAUGGCUCACCAAGGCGACGACGGGUAGCCGGCCUGAGAGGGUGACCGGCCACACUGGGACUGAGACACGGCCCAGACUCCUACGGGAGGCAGCAGUGGGGAAUAUUGCACAAUGGGCGAAAGCCUGAUGCAGCAACGCCGCGUGAGGGAUGAAGGCCUUCGGGUUGUAAACCUCUUUUAGCAGGGAAGAAGCGAAAGUGACGGUACCUGCAGAAAAAGCACCGGCUAACUACGUGCCAGCCGCCGCAGUAA
RNAcentral lists this ribosomal RNA (483 nucleotides) under uncultured bacterium. RNAcentral's name for it is "partial 16S ribosomal RNA". It matches the Rfam family "Bacterial small subunit ribosomal RNA", at positions 28 to 523 of the family's 1533-position model. The record is from RNAcentral.